Molecule: ribosomal RNA, 416 nt
Filed under: uncultured bacterium
Lineage: Bacteria
Description: bacterial SSU rRNA
Rfam family: Bacterial small subunit ribosomal RNA
Source: RNAcentral
UGGGGGAUAUUGCACAAUGGGGGAAACCCUGAUGCAGCGACGCCGCGUGAGGGAAGACGGUUUUCGGAUUGUAAACCUCUGUCUUUGGGGACGAACAAAUGACGGUACCCAAGGAGGAAGCCACGGCUAACUACGUGCCAGCAGCCGCGGUAAUACGGAGGGUGCGAGCGUUAAUCGGAAUUACUGGGCGUAAAGCGCUCGUAGGUAGUAUAUCAAGUCAAGGGUGAAAUCCCCGCGCUCAACGUGGGAACUGCCUUUGAAACUGGUAGACUUGAGUGUGUGAGAGGAUAGUGGAAUUCCAGGUGUAGGAGUGAAAUCCGUAGAUAUCUGGAGGAACAUCAGUGGCGAAGGCGACUAUCUGGCACAUAACUGACACUGAGGAGCGAAAGCGUGGGUAGCAAACAGGAUUAGAUACC